RNAcentral lists this ribosomal RNA (253 nucleotides) under uncultured bacterium. RNAcentral's name for it is "partial 16S ribosomal RNA". It matches the Rfam family "Bacterial small subunit ribosomal RNA", at positions 524 to 776 of the family's 1533-position model. The record is from RNAcentral.
UACGUAGGGUGCAAGCGUUGUCCGGAAUUAUUGGGCGUAAAGAGCUCGUAGGCGGUUUGUCGCGUCUGCUGUGAAAACUCGGGGCUUAACCCCGGGCCUGCAGUGGGUACGGGCAGACUAGAGUGCGGUAGGGGAGACUGGAAUUCCUGGUGUAGCGGUGAAAUGCGCAGAUAUCAGGAGGAACACCGGUGGCGAAGGCGGGUCUCUGGGCCUGACCUGACGCUGAGGAGCGAAAGCGUGGGGAGCGAACAGG